AGAUGAAUUAAAAAUUAAAAUGGGUAAAAAAUUGGGUAAAAGGUGAUCAAAACUCUGACAAAAUAAACCAGAAUACUUUAAAACUUAAAGGUUGUAAAGCCACCCUAUGUAGCCAUAAAUUGCUGACUUUACAGAAAGUGACUUACAGAGAGUAGAACUGUGGUUAUUAGAGACUAGGAAGGGUAAGGGGGAUGGGAGGAUAGAGAGAGGUUGGGUAAGGGAUACAGAAUUACAGCUGGAUAGGAGGAAUUAGUUCUGGUGUUCUGCAGCACUAUAGCGUGAAUAUGGUUAAUAUUGAUUUAUUUAUUGUGUAUUUUCAGAAAGCUAGAAGAGAAGAUUUUGGAUGUUCACAACACAAAUAAAUGAUAAAUAAAUUUUGAGGUGGUGGAUGUGCUAAUUACCCUGAUUCGAUCAUUCCACAUUGUAUCGAAAUACCACUCUAUAUCCCAUAAAUAUGUACAAUUGUUACCUGUCAACUAACAAUAAAAGGAAAAGAAAGUGA
RNAcentral lists this small RNA (502 nucleotides) under Pongo abelii (Sumatran orangutan). Its description in RNAcentral is "sense intronic". The record is from RNAcentral. Lineage: Eukaryota; Metazoa; Chordata; Mammalia; Primates; Hominidae.